Long non-coding RNA from Coturnix japonica (Japanese quail), 18775 nucleotides. RefSeq lists it as uncharacterized. Lineage: Eukaryota; Metazoa; Chordata; Aves; Galliformes; Phasianidae. The record is from RefSeq and is a predicted model, not a curated record.
GAUAAGUCCUUGCAGACCUGCUUCAAGAGCAGCCCUGUGAAAGGAAACAGAUUGCCUGGGGCCAGACAUUUAGAGGGUCUUACGCUUCUCUUUGCACUUGCAAAGUGCAUGUUCUCUUUCUCAGUGAUAUGCCACCCUUUCAGAAAAGGCUUGGAUGGGGAAAUGUCCUGUGGUGCACACCUCAGUCAGUCAUGUGUUGCACUGAACUGCCAGCAUGCAUCUAGGGCAUCCUUAUGCAGAGAAAUUCCUAUUGAUGAGAAGGCCACCUCAUGCAUCCAGUUUUUGCUACCUAUCUUCAUUUUUCCACAGUUCUCUCUGUGUUAAAAGGUUCCCCACACUCACAGUUGCUCUUCCCAAGGUUCAUGUGCCUGUCAUCCAACAUGCUUUGCUUGGAAUUUCCACUGAAAUUUGAGUUUCUAACAGAUUAGGGUUGGAUUAUAUAUGAUACAAUGGGAUUAAAAAGAAAAUAUAAGGAAGCUAAACUAAAACAUUUCAAUCCAUAGAAAAUGGCUUUUCGCACUCAUACUUUGGACAGAUGUUGAAAUUGUGUCACAGUGUAGAAUGAGAAUGAAUUAUUUUUUUUUUCCUAAUGAAACAAUACUUUCAUUUUUACAUAGUACAUUUUCAGUUUGUUCAUCAUAGAAUUGCAUGGAUUAAAAGGACCACAGUGAUCAUCUGGUUUCAACCCCUAUGCUAUGUGAGGUUGCCAGAAUUUAACAAAAUGGGCUAAAAGUUAAGUUUCCAAAUUCCCAUUUACAUCCACAGCUACAAAGCUUGAAGGUGCAGAGUUACUGAGCAGUCCCAUUUCUUACCGAUUCCAAUAGUCCUGUCCAUCCGACUCAUCCAAAAUAGACAUCUUGUGGCACUCUGUGUCUUCUGAAUAUCUUGAUUUUAUCUUUAAUGUUAAUCUCCCUUUCUGGAAGUGAGAAGGAAAUAAUUUUUUAGGAAAAAAAAUAAUAAUAACAAUAAUUCCUAUUUCCUUCUUUACAUCUUUUUUAUGGCAUGUUUUGAUUUUAAAGUUCCUCCACGUAGUUACCCUCUGUAGGUCACUCCUUUUACAAGACCAAUUUCUUCAACUCUUUGGAAGGGUGGAUAACAGCAGGAAAAGGGGAAAUGAUUUUAAGUUGAAGGAGGGAAGAUUUAGGUCGGAUAUCAGAGAAAGGUUCUUUGCCAAGAGAGUGGUGAGGUCCUGGAACAGACUGCUCGGGGGGUGGAACUUCAUGAUCCUUGAGGCCCCUUUCAGCACAAGCCAUUCUAUGAUUCUUCAGAAUAAUCUUCAGUGAGUUAGAUCUGAUUGUGAUUGGUGCAAAAGUUAAGUAUUAUUAUUACAUGAUUGGUUUUCCUCAAAGCCUGUCUUCUGGGUAGAUCUUAAUACAUCUAAAUACCUUAAUAUUGUUUUCUCAAAGAAGGAAAACAUUCUAAUUCAUGCUAGGGAUUAUGAAAGUAGUAAUUUUCUUGCAACUGGCCCUUAAUAUAGCUAAUAGCUCAUGGCAACACCUUAGGAUGGUUAACAAGGCCAUCAUUAACUGUGGUUAAUGAAAAAGUAAUUAAACUUUUAAAAAUCUAAUCCUGGAUGACAAAUCAUUAUAAAUUGUGCCCUUGGUUAUUCGUGUCACUAAUGUGAAUAAAUGAGUUUUAAGGUCUACAUACACAUAAAACAAAACUGUAAGGAAACAUAGCGUGAAUCCUGUUGGUUGUCAAUAGCUGGGUUGUUUUUCAAUCGCUUUUAAAACUUCUUAAAGUGUCCAUGACUUUGUGUAUAAUUUUUUUUUAAAUAUUUAAGAAGAAACAUUAACAUUUUGUGUGAGAAUCCCAAAAUCUGUUGUGGGAUUAUCCUCACUGACUUGGAAGAUCAUCAGCCAAACUGUGGAUAUUUGCAAGAGGGAGGGGAGACUUAUCGCAAAUCUAGCAAGAUGCAGUUCAGCAAAGCAACUGGAUUUCAACUCUUAUAAGCUGUCAAUAGAAACAGGAGACAGCAAACUAAUAUAUAAAUGUAUAUAUAUUUCUGUUUAGAAUGUGCCUAAGAGAACUCAGUAAAGAAAUAGAAAUAGGAUCAAUACAUGCUGUCUGCAAAUCAGUUUAGAUGGAGUCACAGUGUCUCAAGGAGGAAACACUAACUAGUUAAAAAGCCUUUCAUGAAACAAGUUAGAAACCUUCUGGUAAGUCCUUUGAACGUUUCAGACAUACUGGCAUUAACUCAUAACCCCCCAGACACUUCCCAUGAUCAGUCCUAUUUAUGGCUUCUAGGUCAUAGAAUCACAGAAUCAUGAAGGUUGGGAAGGACCUCUCAGACCCCCAAGCACAACCUCAGCCCACCUCACCAUGCCCUCUGCCCACGUCCCUCAGUGCCACAAAAUCCGAUUGUUCUGGAGCACCCCCAGGGAUGGUGACCCCAUCACUCUGGGCAGCUGUGCCACUGCAUCACUGCUCUUUUAGAGAAGAAAUGUUUCCUAAUACCCAACCUGCUGUUGGACUGAUACUGCCAUAACUCUUGUUAUUGCCACUGAAAUCUCCUUUGUGCUGUCAGAGCACCCUGAAGAGCUCAGUGGGCUGGGGCAGGGCACAGCCCCUCCUGACACCUGGAGGUGGAGCUGCCCGGGACCACCAGCCCCAUCCAUCUCACACAGUCUCCCUCAGAUCCCUGGGGUGGCUGCACACACAGAGCUUUUCUGCUGAUAAGAGAGAAUUUCCUUUAAAGUAACUCCUUCACACAAUGAGUUCCCUGUCCUUUCUUCAGAUGCUCUCAGUACUACCCAGGCUAUUCCUACUCCUCCUCUGGGGCCAGAGGACAUGACCUGCUUUCACUUUCUCUUUUCUCAUCUUUCUCCCCCUCCCAUAACACUGCAGCGUGCUCUCUUUACAUUACUCCAAGGCUGAGAGCAGCCCUCUUUGGCUCACCUUGUGAUUCCUCAGACCACAUCCCUCAGAGAUGCUCCAUCUGUACUCUGUGCAUUCAGAUCUGUCGCACUGCAGGGUCACCUCCUUUGUGUGUCACACUGUCCCCUCGGCCAGGCUGCAGUCGUGCUUUAAGGUAAAGGCCAUUCUCAGUGAACUUUAGAGACCUAGAAGUUACUUAUGUGUAAAAGUUAUUCCCAUUGUCAAAAGCAAAUGUAUUUUCUGCCUAUCCUUACUGCUGAAAAAAACCCAGAUCGAUUUAUUUUCAGAUUCAGAAAUCAGUUUUCCAAGUGUAAGAAUGUGUAAUGGAGCAAUUACGGGCAUCCUCCAAAAUCUGAAUUUAUGAAAAACUUCCCAUGAGGAAAGUUUCAUGUAUUUGACUUGGAAAAGCUUUUAUUUUUAUAAAUUCCUUUUUUGGAAAAGUGGUGCAAUACCAUCUAUAACGCAUAGUAUUGCUUUGAGAGGUUGUGUUCUGCAGCCAGCAUUGCUGCUGCUGCUUGUGAUAGGAAGGCACUGAAGCAGCGUGAGAAAACUUUGUUGGUGACAUUCACAGCUUUGUAAAAAAAAAGACAUUUGAACAGGCUUUUUUUUAAGCUGUGAUUUAGAAAAACCCUAAGAUGUAAUUAAAUCUGGUCACAACAUUUCUGUGAUUGAUGUGAUGGAUAACAGAUAGGUUAUGCUUAUCCCUGAUGUAACAGCACUGUAGCAAACACUGCGCUUAUUGCAUUACAGAUGAUAUCAAGCAAUGUUAGUCAUUCACAUGAAUAGCUCUAGUCUGAUUGAGUUUGAUUCCUUAUUAGGGAGAGUUCCACAGUGCAGAGUGUUGUACCAGUAAUAUAACACAGAAAUUGCUUCUAGCAUGUGGAACGUGCAAUUAUAAUAAGCAAAUAUUUAACUCAAACCAUGCUCUUGGGAUCACAGUGUCAAUAAGAGAUAUAAAAAAAACCUAAUUGUUUCAUUAGCCUGAGGCAGGUGAGAAGGGGCUGGAGCCAAGGUGGGCUGCCAGGGCUGUCCUGCAUGCAGAGCUCGGCUUAUGGGAAGGUGAUGAUUAAGCUGAUCAUAAAUGCAGGCUGGGAUUUGUUUUAUGAUCAAGAUAUUGAACAGCAAAUUAAUAAGCAUCAAAUUAUGACAGCAAUAAAUGGCAAUGGCAUGGGAAUGGCAGAAGGAGAAGCUCAGACUGUCAGGUAGCCGCUUGCACACAGGUGUAACUGCUGAUUGGUUGUUGCUCUGUGAAGAAAAAAUGAUUUCUUUAUGACUUCCCCUUUAAUAUCCCUUCAAGGGCUUGGGACAGUUGAGACCCAAAGAAGCCCUGACACAAAAUUCAGCUAAGAGACAGAUUUCUGCUCUUUCAAAGCCUUCUGCCUUUCCCAGCGAGCUGACUGGUGCUGCGAUGUGCUGCUAUUCAUCAGCAUUUUCAAGCAGGAGACAGACUCAUGAACUCAUUUUCUAUGGGAGAUUUCUUCUGGAGCCAGCAUUGCCAAGCAGUGAUUAGAUAAGAUGACACCCUGGGAAAUUCAAGAUGGAAUAAAAGCCCGAGCGGGUAUGCAGCCGAGCUGCAAGGCUAUCAGUCCUUAUUGAAGGGGCCUUCAUCUGGGACAUUCAGAGGGGCUCUUUUAAAAGCACCAGCACUCUAAUGAAGCUUAAUGGUUUUGAAUUGACGGUACCUUGCAGCAGAAGCUGCUUAGAUGCUUAAUAAUGGCAUAAUCAUCUUCUGUCAGCCAUUUGGUUGGCACAGAAUGCUUAUGCCUGCAUUGUUCCAUUUAAGAUAGAUGUAUUUACAUUUUAUUGACAUCAUAUACUUUCAUGCCAUAUCUCUUUACAUGUAUCACAAUAUCCUUUGUUUUGAACAUGGGGCUGCAGGAAUUUGGAUCAACUAACAUCAUGGGAAAUUUAGGAUGAACCAGAGCCAGGGUGCCUGAUAGAAGUAGAACUGCGUUUUUCUGCCCCAUAUAGAUUUUGUGGGCCUUGCACUCCCAACAUCUGACAUAGAACGUAAGUUCCAAGCACAGUGCUGUGCAGUGGAAUUGCAGGAUAAGGACCAUUGGGAAGAUAUGCUCUUUCAGACCUUCAGGUACACCUGGAUUUAUUUCAUGUUUCUGAAUGGAUUGCAUGAAAGGAAAUUAAAAAAUUAAUUAGGAAAAAGUGUGGCACAAAUAAUGGGAUAUUCAGCUGGGUAAAAGCGCUGUUGUAUCCCCUGCUACUCUAACUUUGAUGGUGACGUAAUCCCAGAGAAAGCAAUGAAUCAUGCUAUCAAUUAACUUGAGUAACAGUGUAUAUACAUAGGAAGUGUUGCAUAGUAGACACAAAUUUUAGUGUAUUAUGAAAAAAAGUCGGUGAAGUGAUUGGAGGAUAUCUGUUAAUUAGCCAUACAGAUUUUUGAACAUUCACCUAAAGAGAACCGAGGACAGCGUUAGCAACAAUUGUGAUAGAAAAUAAUUAGCUUGUUUUCAGGGCUUAAAUAGUCAUUACUUUCUUGUGAAGUCCCUAAUUAAGCUAAUCCUAGUUUAUAAUACAUUAGCAACCAUUCUUUAUGUGGAAGCUACUUCUUAGAGGAUAAAAAUAACUUCAAAGUUUGAAAUGCUCAAAAUCAUAUGCAAAAUUGUAGAGCUCGGGACAGGAGCAAUACAGAUGAAGAAAUUCCUGUUAUUCCUUGCUGCCUAUGUGCUGUUUGUUCACCUGGAGGCUGCAGAUACAACUGUUUAAAGGCUCCAGUGAAACAAUUUCCCCCUUUCUGCCUUGAAAGCCUGUUACCACGGUUUUCUUAGGAGGUCCUGCUCUAGCAUUACCCAAUUAUUUCCUAAGAACUGCGAAGGUAUUCUUUCUCACUGACUCAUGCUCUAAUAGAUGAAGGACUCAUUUUCAGUUUGAUAUUUGACUUCGGUCAAAGGAAAAGAGCUGAUAAUAUGAAGUUGAUGCAACACAAAGCACAAAGCCUGGGCUAGAGGAUACAGUGGGUUCUGACCUUUAUCCACAGAGAAAAUAUGAAACUGGAGAGGUAGAAUUAAGCACAGUUUGGGGGCUGGGAGGCCUGCACCUAGCUGUUGCCUGUUGUUCACAGAGGGCAGAAGGAGCAUCUUCUCCAGCUCUGUGCUUUGCUUGCUAAUUUACUCACAGUCAAGUGGAGGCAAUGUUGAGUUACAAAGCCCCCAAAAACAUGCGCAAGUAAGUUCAUUUUAUGCAAGAUGAUGGAAUCAGCUGAUGUGGCAAAACCCAGUGCCAUGUGGCCUCCCAGCUGAAAGGAAUGAUUGAUUGAAAAAACUGCUGAAAACUUGGCCAGCGAAUGCUGCAAAGAGAUCAACGUGAAGCAGGGAAGGUUGGCUCUCCCUGCUCCCUUGAAUUACAACAAGAAGGAAUCACGUCGCCCAUUUAGAAAGAGAGCAGAACCUCUCACUUAAAUAAUUUGUAGAAUCUUUGCUAUCAGCUUAUGCUCAGAAACUGAAAACUGGGUAAGGUAACCACAGCGAGCAUGAAAACACCUGAGAUCGACUUCAUGUACAGCAAGCCGCAGGAUUUCUAUAGAACUAUUUAUCCAGACAUCUCACUGAAACGUGGGGCUGCCUCACCACAUCAUGUAAUAUUCUGUCUGUUCCCCCUUCACUUACAUUCCUGGUACGGUAUCAAUAUUUCACGAACUCUUCUUACAUGGGCUGUUUAGUAUGUUGUAAGAGGCAAAACAUACACAGUACGCAUAAGAGAAAGAUUUGCUGCCAAAGGUAUUUAACAGACCUCUGCAACCUAGAAAGAACCAUAAAUCAAAAUACAAGGACAUGCAAUACAAAUAAUGCGAUAACGGUGUUCAACCAUGUGUAUAUAUAGUGCUUAUUUUGAAUUGCCCUCUGCUCUGUAAGUCAGUGUUAGAGCUCCUGAGCAGCUGGAGCUUAGCUCCUUGAGUCCGCCCAGCUGGAAUUUAACUAGUCCUUAUUACACAUGUACGUGCUCUCUGGGUCCUGCUUUUUGGCUUUUAUUUUAUUUUAUUUUAAAUGAGCAGAGCACAUUAAAGUUAGAAAAGAUUAAGCAGAAUUAAACAUGGAUGCCAUUUUGCAGAGACAUUCCUCAGAAGACAUGUUUGGGUUUUUUUUCUCCCCCACUCCUUUAGCUGUGUUAGAUCUGACUGCAAAUGACAAGCUGUACACAGGAACCAGGCAUUUAUACCCCUAUCAUCACUUAUUAACUGUUGAUAUUGUUGCUGACAGUGUAGCGAUAAUAAUAGGGAUUCUUUCAACACCUGGCCUCAAGAUGUAGGAGUUUAUGACAUUCAAAAAUAUCUCAGUGGAGCUGACAGGUGAAGGCAUGUUCAGAGGCAAUUCACACCAGGAGCAGUAUAUAAGUGCCGUACAAAGCUGACUGUGACCUUGAGGAGUCUUUGCCAGCCCUUAGGAGCUGACUUAGGCAUUCAGAAGCGAAGUCAUUUUCUCUGAAUAAGGUAUCACUGUCUCCAUCUGUAAAUCACUCUACACUGUCAGCGUGUUGUAGUUCAUGUAGCAAAAUGACUAAUAGGAAAUAAUAGUGUUGCAAUAGAGAGUAUAAGGAGAGCUGUGAUUUGAGUAAAAAAAAAAAAUAUCACACUACUGGAAAGCCAGCUGUUCCCACUUCCCUGACUAAUUGAAGGCAUGAAGCAAAUGCACUGAUGUGCUGAUUUCCUCCAACUUGCAUAAGAUGUGAGGUUCUUCAAAGAGGCAGUAGGCUCAUGAAAGGCUUGGGCCUGAAUAAUGGAAAACACCUUCAGCUUCCAAAAUCAUUGUUUCACAGACAACUGGAUGUAAGCCUUUCAGCAAGUACAUAACUGCAAUGCAAAUAAUUGGAUCCAGUCUCCACAUCUGCAUUAACGUGGUGUGCAGUGCCUGUAUUCAUACCCUGGUCCACCACAGCCAUCUACAGGUCAAUGCACAGAGAAUCCCUCGGCAGAUACAGACAUUUCAAUGGGAGAAGAUUUCUGUGAAGACCAGAAAAUUAUUGAUGCAGUCUAAAAUGAGCCUAGUCUCUCCAAUAAAUUCACAUUCAUGGGACUUGAAAAGAAGGAAUUGAGUUGGGAGGGACCUUGGCAAGACAUGGGACAUCCAAGAUGUUGGCAAAGAAGAAAUGGCAUCAGAAUGAUCUACAACUAUUUGCUCAUCCUGUGUUAAAACUGGAAAAACCAGCAGGUAAGGUACUGAUACAUGGCAUUGAUUGUCCACCACCAAUAUAAAAUUGGCCCCUUCCAGAUGCGAUGCCUCAAGUGAUGCUCUAGCAAAACUCAUGUGCUACACUAAGCUCUUGCUAAAUAAACAUUUUCUACUGCCCAAAGAAAUACAUCUCUACACCUUCUCCAAAAAUAAACUAACAACUCAGGGUGAUGGAAAUAAGAUUUCUCAACCAACAUGUUCUUUAAAGUUGAAGGAAGCACAUUUCUGUUGAGGUAGAAUGGACGAGACAGAGUCAGAGGAGGUAUUAUUAGCAAGGCAUCAUCCCACAGGAUUAGAGGUAUGAGAUAUAAUAUAUAGAGAGACCCAAGGGUGAGAUUACCUUAAGAUAAUACACCCUUUGGGUUUUUAAAUCGCCUCCAAAGCAAUCAAACUGGUUACCAUAGCAUUCGUUUUAAUGCACAGAUAAAUUUGUAGCUCUUGUUUAUAUAGCUUAUCCUCUGGAGGCACUAAUAUGAUUUCCUUUAAAACUCAAGUUAAUGAGAAAAUAAUGGAGCAUUGUAGAUAUAAGCAAAUUUUUUUCCCCACUGUCACUGGCAUCAUCUUUUAUACAGCCAGAGGGCUCUUUGAAAGUAUAAGUUGGAUUUAUUUUAUGUUCCACAAAACCUUUAAAAAAAAAUAAAUUCUUUCUUUACACCAAGCUUUCUGAUUCCAGCCUAAAGCCAAAAAUACUUACUGUCUAAAUAUAUUUAUAAAUCAGUAUAUUAUCCAUAAAUCUUACCUUAUCCCUAAUAAGAAAUUUAAAGUUAUCACUCUUAAAACUUCACUUUGGCAACAUACAUUCUUAUUUUAUUGUCUUUCCUGGACAGAAAUCAGAGAUGAGAUUUGUAUGUGGCCAGGGAAUAGGGGCUACAUAUCAGUUGCUGAGUGUAGUGAUCUGUGUAAUGAAGCCAUGUUUGUUUACUUUCCUUUCUAUACACCAGUGCAGUAAAUCUCAGCGUUUUGGAGAUUUCUUUUUUACUCCAUCAGCUCUCCUAAUCCUUUUGGUCAAACUCAGGAGCUCUGUUCUCUGGGAAUGUCCUCAAGUGCAAGGACAGAACACUGCCAAGGUUGACAUAAGCAAGUCUGAUAUAGGCUGAGAGCUUGUUGCAGCAAUUCAUUUGCCUGGGAAGGAUUUACGUUAUAUACAUAAUUUACAUUAUACAACAUGCAUAAAUAUAAACAAAUGCCUACAUGGACUGGGUCUUCAGGCAUUCCAAGCUUAUUGAAGAAGGAUUCUUCAGGCUUAUUGAGAAGGAUUAAUAGUAAUUAUUAAGAGUAUUGAUAGAAGUAAUGUAUUUUACUGGGACUGAAGGAUUGUCCCUGGUCUUGCUCAAAGACUAUGGGAGUUUCGAUUUGGAAAGGAAAGUCUUCCAGGUUCUUCACUCUUUUUCAGGAAUGAUUUUGUCACAUGGCAACUUGUAAAAUUUUCAGCUUUCUUCUGUUUCUCCAAACUGUAUAUCUGAAUUUUAGGAUAUUCUCAUAGAGCCUGGCUAUAUCCCUCUUCUCUUCAUUUCCCAUCUCUGGGAAGCCUUCAUAACUGGUCUGUCUGGAGAGUUAGAAAGACAUAUUCUCUGGAAGAUGGCGAAGUUGGACCUUCACCUCUAUUUCCCACCCCAAGUGCCUGUGGGACAGCCAAGGCAUUGUAGGGUUUCGUGCAUGGUUUGUGAAGGGUCAUAGGGAUUUGGCUCCUGCCUUUAGGAUGUGUUGUUUGGGUGCUAACACUGCCAGCCACUGUGCCCCAAAGCUUUUGAAACCUUGCCACAAUACCAUGUAGAAUCUCACAGGUUUGCUUUGGAGAGGAAAUGUAAUCACUGACUUCAGUAAGAAAGGUGCAGCAGUGGAGAGUCACUAUUAUAGUCAGCUCCAUAUGAACUAAUAAGAUAAAGCAUGUUUAAUUCCUUCAUUCAAGGAUAGCGUGGUUUUGAUUCCUUUACCCUGGAGAAACAUUACUAUAGGAGAGAACAACACACUGUAUCAUUGAUGGAAGUGAAAUCUUGUCCCUGAGAAGCAAGGAAAUUGUUGCAGCCCUUUCUCAAGCAGCCUUUGCUCUCCCUCCACAUAGUCCUCCUAUGACUGUCCAUUCAAGACCCCAGUUCUGACAGUAAAACCACAGGCAAUGGAACCAGCUGGAACUUACUCUCUUUUUGACCCAGCUGCUUCAAAAGUAAAUAUCUCUUUCACAGGAUGGAGAAUCUUAGUUUUGGUGAAAUAUAUAAACUGUCAGUUCUGAAGCCUGAAGCCUUUGACCUCUUGAAAAAGGCUCUCCAACAAAUAAAAAUAGUCAUUUUUUGACCCUUCUUAGGCAGGCCAUACUCUCCAUUCAGAGCAUAAUUACAUAAUAGGACAGCUAUCUUAGAUCACACUAGGGGGUCUGAAGAAUAUAUUAUUUUGCAGAAUAUACUAUAGCUGGAGUUUCCAUGAAGAAACAGAAAGUAAAGACUUUUGGAGGAAGAAUUGCAAAUAAUGAGGAAGUACACAGCUGACUUAAAUAAAUACACAAGCAAAUACAUGCUGAUUGCUACUCCAUGCUGAUAAAUGCAUCCUAUUGAAAAAUGGGAGAAGGGAAAAUGUCUGCUAAAUGGUAUAGUGCUGCUGAAUACUAACCAGGAAAGAGAUUUUAACUUUAUUGUUGGGAAAUCCCCAAAGCCUUUGCUGUGCUGCUUCAAUAUGCAGCUGUGGCAUGCACAGGACAAACAGAAUGCUGUGUAAAAGAAAAAAGAUAUAAGCCUCUAGGAAAGGAGCUGGUGAUGCAGGCCUGCACAUCACUAAGCCAGUGGUAUUCCUGGAGCAGACAUAUUGCUCUGAUUGGCAUUGCACCGAUGAUGAAAUAACUGAUUUAAUGAGUAAAAAAAAGUAAAAUAUCAAGCAAAUAAAAUGUUGCAGAGUUGUUGCUAAUUGUUUAGAAACAAAUCUCAUGCUUUAAAAGGUAUUUGGAAAUACCUAGCAAAAGCCUGGAUGAAAAGCUAGCAACCACUGAGCUGGUAUUAGAUAACUGGCAGCUAAACGAGGAAUAGACACAUUUGAACCAGAUGGUUAUAGUUUUGGUCAAAGAGAUCAAACCUGGUACCACAGUUAAACAGGAGGGUAUCAAACGCUAACUGUACAUGUUUCAGAGAUGGCUAAUGUUCCAAAAAGAUUUCAUAAAUACUCCCCACAAGCUCUCAGAUAUUGGCUAUGAUUCACGUUAUGAUCCCAGCAGUACGUCCAGAUGAAAUAGACUCUGUCAAUGUUAAUUCAAGUCUUUGAAAAUGCUGUUUUUAGUUCUUCAGUCUUCUGCUACAUCUUGGGAGAGGUAAAAAAGCUCCUCUAUGAGUUCUAUUAUGUGAUAAAGAGCAAGUCAAGCAAAUCUGCUCCUCAAAGAGGAAAUCCAGCAUUUCUAAAUGUAAUGCCACAGGUGAGGAAACACUCAGAGUAGACACAACAGCCCUGCUAUUUUCCUAGUAAGUGUUGCAACAUGGUGGGUAGUUUAAGCCAUGUAAGAGUGUCUGAUGUAGGCAUUAUGAGGGACUGAAGAGUAGGACACUGUGUCUGGGGGGAAAAGCUGUAUUGUAAGAGGAGGCUGAAGCUUGCAGGGCUUGGAACUUGCUGGUUCACCGCCCUGCUGCACCAAGCAUUUCCAGAAUGGAUACCUUUGGCCCUCUGAGCUUCAGCUCUUUGCAAAAGCAGUUCUCUACAUCAAAGAUUUGUUAUAAGACAAAAUAUGGUCCAGGCUGUGAAGCAUCUCUAAAACAGCCAAGUUUUACACAUACCUGUGAUCUGUUGAGAGUUGGCUUUGGUCUACAUGCCUUAAGUUCCCAAGUACAUAAUAAAGUCAUUUUAGCAGCAUGGUUAUAUGAUUUUUUUUUAUUUUUUUUUUUUAAUUUUUUUUAACAAAUAUGAGUAAAUAAAAGCUGAAGGGCAAUUGAAACUAAGUGAAAAUGUGUUCCUUUAGUGAAAAAAAGACACACUUUUCAAGCAUUCUGAGCUGCUGGAUCCCAAUAUGAAAGAAAUACCUACAAAUGUGUUGAAAAUAAGGGAGCAGCAGCAUGGAAAUUAUAAUUUUCCCAUUAGAAUAUACUAAGAAACGCAGCUGUGCUUGCUUUCCCUACUGAUCCCCAGCCUUCAAAUUCCUCUAAAUUAAAUUGUAAAAUAAUGAUCUCCUUUUCUGUUUCCUGCUAAGCUACAUAGUUAAUCCCCAAUACAGAAAUAUAUAAAGAACAUGUAAUUUUAGGAAAACCAUUAUUACUAAAAUACAGAAGGCCUCAGACCAAAGGAUUUCCACAAUUUCCAAUGCACAUUUGAACCCAGAUCCAAACCUUCUCUCUGGGUUUGCCUUGGUCUAAUCCUUUUGUUUGCAGCCUGAUUUCAGGAGGGAAAAUAAAAUCAAAUCAGACUAUGAUUUUAACGGGAACAUUCGGUUGUGAUAGCAAAUACACAUGCUGAAAUAAUCUGAAACAGCCUGUCUGCUUUAGCUUUUUUAAGCUUAUGAUUAUUAUUAUUUUUUUUCAUGGUGAUUUCAAAUGACUGCAUGGUAAGAGCAGCAGACAGGCCUGGAAGAAGAGCGUCUCUGUUAUCAACAGUCACCCAUGCCAGCAUGUUCAAUGUAACAGAGCUUCUGAGGUUGUAAGAACUAACACAUGGAAGACAUUUUAAUAACUUUAAUUAAAGUUAUUCAGUUAUCUGGGAUUUCUGCGAGUUUAAUAAGGUCACUGAUGUCAGAAGGGUGCGGGUAUCUUAAAUUUCUCAUUUUCUCUGCCUAAGUGAUCAUGGCAUUUAAAGCACACUGUCAGCUUAUAUGGCAUUGUAAUUCUUUUAAAGUAGGAGGUGUUUAUUUAAGAAGCAGCACUUGCAGCUACAGGCAGACCUCACGGAGGGGGGAGGAAUGGGAGGCAGGGGAGAAUACUUGAAUGGCAGCCUUGUUGGUUUUGUUUACCAGGGACCAGCUCUGUCCCAUAUUGCCAUUAAGUGGCUCCAUCCUCCAGUGCCCUCAAGGCAUAGAAAUAGAGAGAAGCAGAUGAGGGACAUCUCUUUUUGUAAGAGGUGUUAUAGACAAUACAUAACUACAUUUUCAAACUGCUCUUAUUAUUAUUAUUACUCUUUUUAACACACUCUCUUCCUCUCCAGCAUCUCCUGCUAUCAGGUCAAAACAAAAAUUGAGGGGAACAAAAAGACUGACAACAAAGGAUUAUUCUGGGACUUCUGAGAGAAGCUAGGAUAUUUAUGGAUUUAUUAUAUUCCCUGGGAUAACAAGUUUCUGAGAUGUUAGUACAUUGUCAAGUAUUUUUCAAGGUUAACAGUUUAGGGACACAAUUACGUUGCAAGUUGUCUGCAAGAAUAAUUAAGGGUAUUUCAGAGAUAUGCAAGAAAAAGCGUUCCUGCAGCUGUCAGAGAGCGAGUGAUCCCAGCUCAAAGAUGAGCCCUCUCCUUCUUUUCAGUCCCUUUUCAAAGAACAUCCUCCUGUGUUCAAGCAUACUCAGAAGCAGAUAAAAGGCAUGUGCUUAGGCUGGGAGGAGCGCAAGUAAUGGUGAGGCAAUCCCAGGUACAGCCCAUCCAGCAGCUGCCUACCGGGGUGGCCCUCCAGAAAGGCAUUGUGAAAUAAAUAUUUCCCAAGGCCAGAAGAUGGUAAGAAGUCAAGAAAUUUUUCCCAGAGAGGCUGUGGAUGCCCUGUCCCUGAAGAUAUUCAAGGCCAGCUUGGAUGUGGCCCUGGGCAGCCUGGUCUAGAAUUAAAUGUGGAAGUCAGUGGCCCUGCCUAUAUCAGACAAGGUGGAGCCUGAUGAUCCUUGAGGUCCCUUCCAACCCAAGCCAUUUUAUGAUUCUCUGAAACAGAGGCAAUGAGGGCAGCUGCGAGUGCCAGGCUUGCUAGAGCUCUGCAUCCAUCUGGGCAGGCACCAGAACAGCACCAGGUACCUCCUCAAUCAGUUCUGCUAGUGAAGUCAUUGGGCUAGUUAAUAAAAAGUCAGAGAUUGUGAAAGUAAUUGCAAGAUCUAGAGAAACAUGAAUACAGAGAGGUCUUAAAUACGAAGAAAUCCAGUAAGUCAGCACUUUGAUUGAAGUGCUGCAACUAAUAUGCAUAUCUGUCUAUCUUUCUAUGAUUCUGACAUGAUUUUUAAUCCUUCUUUCAAAUCCCAAUCAUUAAUGAGGGAUAGGGCUGGACUGAAGAGGACCAAAGAGAUUUAUUGAUACCAACUCAGAGCCAUGGCUGUAAAUCAGGACAGUGAAGAAGUAUGCCACUGCUGGCUUAUGUUCUCUUCCUGCAGAGGGACAGGGAUGAAUGAACAAGUGUCUAAAUGAAUGAAUAGAUGAAUGAAUGAAAGAAUGAAUGCAUAAUCAAAUAAAUACAUUAAAAUACAUUGCCAGCUUGCUGGGAUUACAUAGCAAUGGAGCUCUUCGGGGGCUUUGUACAAUUGUAGGCAACAGUGUGCACGUUUUUAUUACAAAUUAAAACCUACCUCACUCAAACCUUCCGAGUGUUUAAUUUUUACCAAAAGUCAAAAGGUGCUUUGCAAUUGGAAAAACUACAGGAUUUGGAUCCUGUGCUACCAAAACCACAUCCCUGUAUAGCUGUGCUCACUGUGUGGAACACUGUGCUCCUGCUGUGCAGCUGGGGCUGACUGCCAACCGAUGGUCCCCAAGGACCAUCGUGGUGCUGACACAACAGAUACUGUGCUGCUGCAGUACACAUGAGGUCAGAUUUGGGGAAAUUACCCUACUUUCUCCUCUCCCUGGAACACUGAAAACACUUUUGUUUUCCCAAGCCAUGACCCUGACCCUGCGUUUGUGCUACCUCUGGGAAAUGCAAUGUUAGGAGUUGCCAUCAAUAAUUCACGAUAUCACCUUUUUCUAGGCUAGGGACAAGAAGGACAGAUGGUAGAAACCUUACAGGUACCCAGCACUGAAUGUAGGCUUUCUGACCUCAAGGCAAAGGUUUUAUUCCUUUUGAAGAGAAUGUGGUCAUCCAUUUAAUUUUUUUUCCCCCGGAAAAACAGCUGCUUUGAACUUUGUGAUCUGAUGAGCUGAAUGUCACUGGAAUUUCCUUCCCUUUCCCUCUGCUUUGGAAAUGACUUCUGAAUCGAGGCCCUGAAGCUCUUCUAACUCAAGGUAUCAUCACGGCCCUAAAGGAAAAGCAGUGGACCACAGCAGCCCAAAAUAGGCUCCCCAAAAUGCCACAAACAGGGGGCUUCUCCUAGCAGCAGAGGACGGCAGAGAUGAAUGAGGCUUUAUCCAAAUGUUAAGGAAUAGAACAUAAAUAAAAGAACCUGUUCUUCACAAAGCUCACACACUUCCUGAGAAGCUGCUCAGCAAUGAGGAGGCCGUGCCAGCUGCCACGUCCUGAGGUAACUCCUUUGGUUCAGUGGUCCUGGACCAUGGUAAGAUCUGGGAAAGUGGGAAAGGGCAAUGGGUGGUGGGAGGACAGAGAGAGCAACACCGGAGGCUGGAAGUGUCUGGGGUGCUCAUAUGAGGCCAUGAGUACGUUAAGCUUGGUAUCUUCAUGCAGAACACAAGUAUUGCCCAGUGCCCUGUGGCAUGUGCACCUCUCUCUUGUGCUCAGCCUGGGUUGGAUCCUUCGCCAGCCCAUUUCUCAUGUUCCAUAAUGCACACAGAAAUGCUGUUCCUUGAGCUUGGUCACACUGACUCUCUGGUGGCUUUAAUUAAAAGGUUUCUACCCAUCAGUGUCUGCAGAGGUCUCUUAACUUGUACUUGCUUUUGGAGCCCAGUCCCAGGCUCAUUGGUGCUAAGUGAAAAGCCAUCCUCUGAGCAAGUACGCUAACCUUGUCUUAACUUAUGGAAAGAAAUUAAAAAGUGAUUAAAUAAUUAAUACUGGAUGUUGCUUAACACUUGGUAAGAGUGUUAGUUAAUAAUCUUCUGAAGCUUUUUUUUCUAAUUUGGGAAUAAAAUAGAUAUAAUUUAGCAUGUCAUUCUGAAGCAGCAAAUAAUGCUGUACAGAGAAUCGAAGGAAAUGUGUUUCUUUGAUUAGGAUGUUUUUCUCAUUAACGGGAUGCUCAAAAUAAAGCAAAAAUAUUUGAUGCACAGAGCCAGUGGCAGUAUCAAGUGAACGGUGGCAUGCUCCUGCAUUUUACCUCGUGUUUACUAAUCAAUCAGAAAGGACUCUUGCCACCAAGAAAGGUCACAUCUUUCAUCACAAAACUGAAACUCUUUGACAACAAUCAAAACUUCACUGCUUUGUUUAAUGUGGAUUCCAGCACAGAAGACCCAGGCCGUGAAGAUGGUGGGUGUGGGAUGAGGUGAAUGCGCAGAGCUAUGAUUCCCAACUGUUUGUUGCUCCCUACUGUGAGUCUGCGUGUCACAAGCAAAAAUGUGUUAAAAGCCCUUGAAAGAACUGGGUUGUAAUUGGCUGAUCAUGAACGCUGGUUUUGCUGCUUUCUUUUCCCUCUGCUGGCUGCCUAGGCAUUAGCAUCUCCAAGGAGUCUUCUGGGCAGUGACAAUAGUGGGAUGCAGACCCAAGCUGGCCUGGUCCCCUGGAGGAAUCAUUGGUAUGAAAAGAUGCACACGUUACUGGCAGCUAUAGCACAUAUUGCAUGGCAUGACACACACAGAAGUGAGAUUAAUAUGAGUUCUGGGCAUCAUUAGCUCAAUUAAAACUGUGAUUUUUUAGUUCAAACCUACAGGCCAUUGCAGAGAAGAGUAAUCAUAAGGCAGAAAUGAGUUCCCUAGUUAAAAAUUAAUUCCCUAGACUAAAAAUAUAAUCAAAUGAUGUCUACAGUAUUUUAUGAAGAGCUGAGAGGAUAAUAAAAUUUAGAGCAGUGCAACAUUUGCAUUUUGUUCAUUUCUAUCCAUAUUUUUCCACACACUGCCUUUCUCUGUGCUUGUUAAUCACAUGCGCUGCUACAGCCCUGGCAUUUUAAGAUCACUCUUCACAUCAAGAUUGAAAGGAAACUAAUUACAAUUACAUUUCAGGGCGGUUGUUUAAAGCUGGUACAGCAUGGAAUACAGCAGAGGAGCCUUGACCUUUAUUUGUAAGCAUGGAAAUAAGGUAAGGAUGAAAGAUUGCUUUUCCUCCAGCUCAUAGGCAGGGAUCAGGAGGCCCUCCUGAGAAGCAGGGAGGUGGAAAGUCCCCAUUUAAUUUCUCUCCUCGCCUCCUCUCCCAUGCUGGCAGCAGAGGCCAGUAGUGCUAUGCAGAAGCCGUGCUCCACUGCAGUGAGAGGUGAAGGGAAGCACCGCACAUGUUGCACCUCCCUCGGGCUGCUGGAAGGAUAAGCAGUGAAUCAACAGAGCUGAGGACCUUUCUGUUUUGACCCCCAGCCCAGCUCUAUUUAGUCCAUUAGUGUAUAGCAGAUCCUUUCCUAGGGCUGGGCACAGACACAGGCUCACCUGGUGCUUCAUGCUGCACUGAUGCAGUGAUGGAAGGUAUCGAUGUUCAUGGGCUACCUGAGGGCAAGAGGUAUGAGUAGUGAUGCAAUCUCUGCUGCUCACAUUAUGACUCAGUGGUACCAAUAGGAUCUGUGUGAGUGCAGCAGGGGAAGAAUAAGGACCCCCUGACCUGAGGAAAUACGGGUAAUCCUAGCAUGGUCUUACUUCUAUUAAAAGUGAUUGCAUAUAGAGUGUACUGAAUGGCAAAUUUACUCAGGAGGUUUAAGUUGAUUCUGUGUCUUCACGUUUUCAAAAGUUUUAUUUUAGUAAAUUUGUACCAUGCUCAAAAUAAACCAAGAGGUAGUUCCACAAGCAGGUUCAAAUCCGGGAACUGCUGUUGCUCUGGAUAUCCCUUUCAGUAUCAUCACCUGUCGUUUGAAAGCUUGUCACGGUGCGUAUUGACCCUCAGGAGAUCUUCUGAUCUCCCCAGGUUAUCACAGCUUCACAGUGAAAUGGGCUCAUUGGAGAUAUAGCACUGAAGGCAUUCUGCAUGCCAGACCCACAAAAUGUAGGCAGUGAUUGUACUGCUUCUUGUAUGUGGUUCUGCAUUUACUCUACUCAAGCCAUUUCAUUUGCCAGCCCCCCCUUUUCUGGCAGAAGUCAUUGCUGGAUCCCUGAAGUCCAGUGAAUUUGAUGGCAAGUUACACCAGGUCAUUAUCAUCUGUGGGCUGGAAAAGCUCCUUUUCAGGUAUUAAUCAAUUAAAAGAGGGAAAACCACCUCACACAAACCCAUUCCACAGCUCCCAACCUUCAUAGACACAGUGCUGGCUAACCCAGCUGGCAGAUGGCCAUGCUGUGUUGAGGAUGCAAACUUGGGUGAGGAUGCUGGGGAUCUGGUUGCCACUUCAGCAAGGCAAAGAAGAAGGAUUCACAGCAAUUCCACGGUGCAUUCUGUGUCUGUCUGCAUUCUCAAAGCAAAAAUUUAAUCAUGCAAAUAUUUACAGAAAUUGGAGAAAAAAAUAAAGACCAGUGAAAGCUGCUGCAGUGAACUUCUAAUUACAAAUCCACAAAGUGUUUAUGAAUAAAUUUAUCUAUUAUUUGUCUUGCUCUAGCACUGCACAUACUUUGCCUUGUACCAUUACAGUCUGAAGGAAACAAUAUGCAUCAUGAAAUGAAAACAAUUUGACUUAAUUAUUUAUACCAUUACCACCCUUUUGAAUUAAGUCCUUCAUUUCUUUGGUAUUUUGUAAAAUUUAACUGGUAAUUAUGCUUGUUUAAUUCAUUUAUUUCUCUACUACUACAAUGAGAUUAAAAAAAAAAAAAUAAAAUGACAAAACCCUACCAGAAUGCAAAGUGCCACUGUGUUCUCAAUUUGUAAAUGAUUCUUUUAAGCUUUUAUGACAAUAAAAAGAAUGUACUAUUUUCCAUCA